GAUGAACGCUGGCGGCGUGCCUAAUACAUGCAAGUCGAGCGAACAGACGAGGAGCUUGCUCCUCUGACGUUAGCGGCGGACGGGUGAGUAACACGUGGAUAAUCUACCUAUAAGACUGGGAUAAUUUCGGGAAACCGGAGCUAAUACCGGAUAAUAUAUUGAACCGCAUGGUUCAAUAGUGAAAGACGGUUUUGCUGUCACUUCUAGAUGGAUCCGCGCUGCAUUAGCUAGUUGGUAAGGUAACGGCUUAUCAAGGCGACGAUGCGUAGCCGACCUGAGAGGGUGGUCGGCCACACUGGAACUGGGACACGGUCCAGACUCCUACGGGAGGCAGCAGUAGGCAAUCUUCCGCAAUGGUCGAAAGCCUGACGGAGCAACGCCGCGUGAGUGAUGAAGAUCUUCGGAUCGUAAAACUCUGUUAUUGGUUAAGAACAAAUGUGUAAGUAACUAUACACGUCUUGACGGUACCUAAUCAGAAAGCCACGGCUAACUACGUG
This 497-nucleotide ribosomal RNA is filed under the name uncultured bacterium. RNAcentral describes it as "partial 16S ribosomal RNA". It matches the Rfam family "Bacterial small subunit ribosomal RNA", at positions 28 to 507 of the family's 1533-position model. The record is from RNAcentral.